GCUGGGCAUGGUGGUGCAUGCCUGUAAUCCCAGCUACUCAGGAGGCUGAGGCAGGAGAAUUGCCUGAACCCAGGAGGCAGAGGUUGCAGUGAGCCGAGAUCGUGCCAUUGCACCUCAGCCUGGGUAACAAGAGCAAAACUCUGUCUCAA
This is an unclassified non-coding RNA of Callithrix jacchus (white-tufted-ear marmoset), 149 nucleotides long. It matches the Rfam family "Metazoan signal recognition particle RNA". Rfam says of the family: The signal recognition particle (SRP) is a universally conserved ribonucleoprotein. NCBI's taxonomy places the organism in Eukaryota, Metazoa, Chordata, Mammalia, Primates, Cebidae. The record is from Ensembl.